Molecule: ribosomal RNA, 253 nt
Filed under: uncultured bacterium
Lineage: Bacteria
Description: partial 16S ribosomal RNA
Rfam family: Bacterial small subunit ribosomal RNA
Source: RNAcentral
UACGGGGGGGGCAAGCGUUGUUCGGAAUUACUGGGCGUAAAGGGCUCGUAGGCGGCCAACUAAGUCAGACGUGAAAUCCCCAGGCUCAACCUGGGAACUGCGUCUGAUACUGGAUGGCUUAAAUCCGGGAGAGGGAUGCAGAAUUCCAGGCGUAGCGGUGAAAUGCGUAGAUAUCAGGAGGAACACCUGCGGUGUAGACGGCUUACUGGACCAUAACUGACGCUGAGGCACGAAAGCGUGGGUAGCAAACAGG